GAAAUGCGAUAAGUAAUGUGAAUUGCAGAAUUCCGUGAAUCAUUAAAUCUUUGAACGCACAUUGCGGUUUUUGGUAUUCCGAAGACCAUAUCUGUUUGAGAAUCAGUUUAAUUUAAUCAAAAAUUUUUAUUUUUAUUUCACGAUUUAAAUAAAUCUUUUUGGACUUUGGGUUUUAAUUGACUUCUUUUUGAUGUCGAUAUUCCUUUUAAUUCAUUUGUUGCUUUCUGUAUAAUUUGAAAGCUGGAAGGCAUGACCAAAGGACCUUAGGGUUCUAAAAUCAGUGCUGAAAAUAGUAUCAAAUUUACAACUUUUUAUGGAAGUAACGUUAAAAAAUAAAACACGAAAAGAAAGAAAUUUCUUUUUAAGACUUGAUCUCAAAUCAGAUAAGACUACCCGCUGA
This 400-nucleotide unclassified non-coding RNA is filed under the name uncultured fungus. RNAcentral describes it as "sequence contains ITS1". The stretch from base 1 to 105 matches the Rfam family "5.8S ribosomal RNA", at positions 50 to 154 of the family's 154-position model. The record is from RNAcentral. Lineage: Eukaryota; Fungi.